RNAcentral lists this ribosomal RNA (256 nucleotides) under uncultured bacterium. RNAcentral's name for it is "partial 16S ribosomal RNA". It matches the Rfam family "Bacterial small subunit ribosomal RNA", at positions 521 to 776 of the family's 1533-position model. The record is from RNAcentral.
UAAUACGUAUGGUGCAAGCGUUGUUCGGAAUCACUGGGCGUAAAGAGCGCGCAGGCGGAUUGAUAAGUCAGGUGUGAAAUCUUCGGGCUCAACCCGAAGCCUGCAUUUGAAACUAUUAAUCUCGAGUCUUGGAGAGGCAGGCAGAAUUCCUGGUGUAGCGGUGAAAUGCGUAGAUAUCAGGAGGAAUACCGAUGGCGAAGGCAGCCUGCUGGACAAUGACUGACGCUGAGGCGCGAAAGCGUGGGGAGCAAACAGG